GUGGGGCCAAGUUAGCCCGAGCGGUCUGUGAGGUGAGAAGGGCCGGGGUCUCUCCUCCUCUCCUCCGCACCCCACCCCGCCUUGCUCUGAAUCUCUCCCUCUCUCUGUCUCUGUUGGUCUCUUUCCCUCUCUACUCCCCAUUCUGGUGUCUUUGGAGCCCUGGGUAAGGUGUGUGCUGAGUCCGGUCUGGUUUGGGGUAGAUGUUCUUUGAUCUGUUACCACACCUGGAGGGAAAGCCCCUGGCCCGCCCCCCCUCCGUUCCUGCAGAGCCAGGCCCCCCAACCAGUCGGUGGGCAGGAUGCCCACCAGUUGCCCCCAUCUGGCCCAGGGGGACCUUUCCUCUGCUCUCCAGGGACCACUGCAGGUGGUGUGGCCCCUGAGGGGAGCAUAAGGGUGCAGUGCCUGACUCAGGGGACACAGAAGCCCCGUCCAUACGGCCUUUUACACAGCACAGCACCCAGCCCUCGGCAGCCCAGAGCAGGAACCAACAGGGUGCAGACACCCCCACCCAGAGGUUGCAGCUCGGAUGGAGAAACAGGCUGGGUCACAAAAGCCCCGGGAGGCAGCCCCUGCUGUCUGGCGUCUUCUCUGGGGAAAGCUUUCCGGAGCCUGAUGGAGGAAGACAGAGGAAAGAGACCUGUGUUCCCUGAUGCACUGGCCAGCCGCUUCCCGGGGAGGAGGAGGCAGAAAUACACAGUAACUGAUUGUUGCCUUUGGUCUGUGAACUGUACUAUGGAACACUGGAACUUACUCCUUCACCUGACUGCAUGUUUGUGCCCCAUAACCAGCCUCACUUUCUGUCUGCCUCUCACCCACACACCCUGCCUAGCCUCUGGGAACCACCAGCCAACUCUCUGCCUCUGUAAGAGCCACUCUUUCAGUGCCCACAAAUGAGUGAGAACAUGGUACAUUUGUCUUUCUACCCCGGCUUACUUCCCUUAACAUGACAGCCUUCAAUUCCAUCCAUGUUGUUGUAAACGACAUGAUUUCAUUCUU
Molecule: long non-coding RNA, 996 nt
Filed under: Homo sapiens (human)
Lineage: Eukaryota; Metazoa; Chordata; Mammalia; Primates; Hominidae
Description: HSALNT0317465
Source: RNAcentral